RNAcentral lists this unclassified non-coding RNA (462 nucleotides) under uncultured Russula. Its description in RNAcentral is "sequence contains ITS2". The stretch from base 1 to 154 matches the Rfam family "5.8S ribosomal RNA". The record is from RNAcentral. Lineage: Eukaryota; Fungi; Basidiomycota; Agaricomycetes; Russulales; Russulaceae.
AACUUUCGGCAAUGGAUCUCUUGGCUCUCGCAACGAUGAAGAACGCAGCGAACUGCGAUAAGUAAUGUGAAUUGCAGAAUUCAGUGAAUCAUCGAAUCUUUGAACGCACCUUGCGCCCCUUGGCAUUCCGAGGGGCACACCCGUUUGAGUGUCGUGAAAUUCUCAAAACCUUUUCCUUUGCCGGAAAGGAUUUUGGACUUGGAGGCCUUUUGCUGGUUUCACCUCGAAGCGAGCUCCUCCAAAAUGGAUUAGUGCGGUCUGCUUUGCCGAUCCUUGACGUGAUAAGAUGCUUCUACGUCUCGGGUUUUGGCACUGUGCCUCUGCUUCUAACCGUCUCAUUGACAGCGAUGGUGUUCCGGUCACCGCCGAUUCGUCGGUGGGAGGCUUGACCCACAAAACGACCUUGACCUCAAAUCGGGUGAGACUACCCGCUGAACUUAAGCAUAUCAAUAAGCGGAGGCU